RNAcentral lists this long non-coding RNA (4308 nucleotides) under Bemisia tabaci. RNAcentral describes it as "lncRNA ENSSSA2NGG009301". Lineage: Eukaryota; Metazoa; Arthropoda; Insecta; Hemiptera; Aleyrodidae. The record is from RNAcentral.
UACACUAAGCAACGUUUGAAUGAACGGCACCUACCUCACCCAUCAUCAGUAUCGAGAGUUACAGGUUGAUCGGCUGUCAGUGCGACAUUGAUGCUGUGAAGUGGAUGACGCCACGGGUGCAUCACACAAACGAGGGAGCUCUAUCGUCAGUCGUCGCAAGACGGGAACAUCUGUCGGCCUUGGGAGCGACAAAAAGUAGACCGCGAGUAAUUAGUGUUGUGGCUUCUCCCGUUACGUUGGACCCGGAUCAAUCGAUUUCCCCGUGCCCCUGAUUUUUACCCAGGGAAAAUGCAACCGAACGGACUCCAGUGUUUCGUCAUCGCCGCUGUCGUUGCUCUGUGUAAGGUAGCUUCGCCGAGCCCGACGAGGCUCUCGAUCCGCGGCCUCUUCGACUCCUUCCUGCCGACCCCGGCGACUAGCCCGCCGCUGGCAGCGGCGGCGGCGGCGGCGGCUCCAGCUGUGGCUGUGGUGGCCGCAGCCCCAGUUAACGCAUCCGCCACCCUCUCGACCUCGCCCUCGACGCCAUCGCUCUUCUCCUCCAUGUCCGGGUGGUUCGCGCCGGUGGUGGCAGCGGUGAGCCCUGAGGAGCUGGCGCGGCGCCGGGAGGAGGCGCUGCGGGCCCAGCGCGAGGAGGAGAAGCGGCGCAAGAUCGAGGAGAUCCGCCGCGUCGUCCUCAAGAUCCCGGGCGUGGAGCUCGCCGACCAGCUCACCCGCAAGACCGCCUCCGCCAUCGGACUCGGCCUCGGCUACAGCACCGCCCGCGCCCAGGCCCUCGUCAACGACUUCUACAACCGCCUCCGCGCCAAAGGCCAGCCCGCACCCGCCCCCUAGGACUCACUUAUCACUGCAUUUGAAACUGAGCUUCCCGCCGGCCCAGCAGACUCAUUUGCACGUACUCGAGUACCUGUACAGCGAGAGUAUGGACCGGAGACGAGAGACCCUCCACCGGCCUCUUGGCGACAGGUGGAAGCUUUUACUUUCGGGGUUUCAACAAUUCCUUAUGGACAAUUACUAGGGAGCAACAGUCAUCACCCCAGUUUCGGCUGUUGACUUACCUACAUGGUCGAUGAUGAGCUUCGGAUGACGUCAUGAGAGAAACAAGUUUCCCAAACGUCGACCAUUUUGGCUUGUUUGCAAAACGGAACUGCCAACACGUUGUUGAACAUCAACCAUGUAGGUAAGUCAACAGUAGAAUGCUGAAGUCCCGAAAGUAAAAGCUUCCCCAAUGGCCAAGAUACUAGUGGAGGGUCUCUUGUCUCUGGUAUGGACAGAUGUGAAACUCCGAAAAUCCAUCAGGCCUUCGCCGAUGCUUUUGCGAAUAAAGUUAGGGCCCAGAAAUGCAGCCGACCUAUGAAAUACAAUUAUCCAGAACGAUUUACUAAUACUAUUGUUACGAACCGUCGUUUAUAAAGCUCGUAUUUGACUCAGUUUUUGCAUUAAUUUACUCAUUUUUGCGGAAGAACGCUCAUUUCUGUACAUUCUUGGCCGUCUUGGUUAGAAUUGGAAUUUGCAGACUCUGCAGACUGGCAGUGAAAUUUUGUGUGGUAGAAGUUGGUUAGAGAGAUGGCUGCACUUUUUGGCCCUAAGACCUCCAUGAAGCGAUCUGUCCAUACUCUCGCAAUUCAGGUACUCUAGGACGUAUUUAUGCUAAAUGGUAAUAAGUGCGAGUGGAAAGAUGGGGUGUGCUCGUUAGUGGUCGGGCCAUAAGAAUGAACGAGAAUCUCCUGCGUGAGCCCGACUACCUCAUGAGCCCUGUCCACAAGGUUCUUUUCCAGUGUUCGAAACUCACAGGCGCCAACGCACACAAUGCGCCUAAAAAAUCGGCCAUGGCGCCUAAAAAAUGAAGGAUCUGCGCCAACGUGGCCCCUAAAAAUCUGGAUUUUCACAGGAAGUCACAUAAAGAACGAAAGAAAUCCAUUGAAUUGAAAAAACUCAGAAUUUCAGCACUACAAGAAAAGCAUAUUUCUAUCCUUCACGAUUUCAUUCUUAGUGCUUUGUCUUCCCCAAGUUACAGCUACUUGCUGGUUCUGUUACGAAAACAUCUUGCGUCUAACUUUUCACUAAAUGCGCCGUAAUAUAUGGGCAAAAAGUCAAUUUGGCCCCUAAAAAAUCUUCAAUGGCGCCUAAAAAUCGGGCUUGAUGCGCCACAUGGCUCCUAAAACUCAAAGGUGAGUUUCGAACACAGGAUGGGGUGUGCUCGUUAGUGGUCGGGCCAUAAGACACGAGCACACCCCAUCUUUCCACUUGCUUAUAGUUCCUUUUGGCAUAAAUACGUCCAUUUAUUCCCUACGACAACGAGAGCACACAAGGUAGAGUCUCUUUAACUGAUGAGCCCUGUCCACUAUGCUCUUGUCACAUGUCCAUGGCUCACGAGCGCCGUAUUCAGUUGGCGCUUGGUUCCGUUUGAUUUAGUGUCAAAUCCCGCUUUUCCAUAUUUCGCCAAAAGGAAUCAUGUCUACUUUUACAGUGUUUGUUAUGCAGCUCGCCACGAGCACACCCCAUCUCUCCCACACGUUUUUAGUUCUGUUUAGCGGGAAUAAGCCGAAUUUCCCCCCUCUUUAUCCUGAUUUUCAUUGAUUGUAACCACCCUGCGGGCCGAUUAUUGAAACUGAUGGACAAAGCUAUAGAUAAAGACUACAAAAGGAUUUGGAGGGAUCCUACUGGUGGAAGCGGGUGGUAGCAAGGGACAUAGGAGGUAGGUAAUAGACUAACUAACGGCAACCUACCAAAGAAUCGACAAUUAGUCCAUCAUUUCCUCUUUUAGUCUAUAAGAACCACCCAUUUCAACCAAUAGGCUGAUCGCUCCGUACUCCCUAUGUCUUCUUUGUCUAUCGCCUUGUUUAUCAAUUUCAAUAAUCAGCCCUAGUGGAAGUGAAUAGAUUAAAAUAAUGCAUCAAAAUUUGAUGGAGCUUACCUUAGUUGACGGCGUCGACAGAACGUGUGUGCGAUCCUCUUUCGCCGUGCUCGGGUGUAAAACUACACCUCCAUAACUAAGACAGAUGUUAAGGAUUUAUACUUAACUAAAACAUCGGAGUCAUUUAAAAGAUAAUUGAACGUCUAUCAAUCGUAGUCAUUGAAAAUGAUGGAAUCGAUUUCUGGUAAAGCGGCGUUUAAGUCACCGAAAAUAUUUACAGGUGCGGCAAAAACUGAUUUUCUCGUCAAGCGAGAUGGUCGAAACAAGUUUAGAGUGUUUAAAGAAUGGAUCAACAUUUGCUUGAAAGUUCUAAAAUAAUUGUUUUGAUUAGGAAACUUUUAGUACUCUUUCAAGGUAGUUUGAAAUUUCAGAUUUACAUCCUUCUCCGUGGAAAUUCAGGAAAACUGAGACAUUUUUAAGAGAAAAAAACUAUGUUUGAAGUAUUUUUGGAGCUUUAUAUCCCGUGUUUGUUAUUUUUAUAGAGCAUGGUGGUAUGACCUAUAGAUAAAGACAAAAAUACCUGGGCGUUGUUCUUUUUUCCAAAUUAAAUUGAAAUGUCCUCGAAAAAUAAGUGAGAACCCGUCAGAUGAACAAAACUACGGGGAAGAAAUUAAAAAAUUUGGACUUGCGCGCUUCUACCAGAGAGCGAUCCAUUUCGGCGUCUAACUAUCGUAUCAUCAAAAAAAUAAUAUACUUCCAAGACAGCAAAGAUUCAUGGACAUUUUCUAUGAUAAAGAUGAGAUAAAGAAAUAAUAAUGAAAAGAUAUUUUGGUUCAUGUCAAACGCCAAAAUAUUCAGUCCAGGUACAAGCAUUUUUCCACGUAGAAACUAAACUUUGCUUUGGGUAACUAAAAUUAUUGCCUACCAAGUGCUACAUAUAGCACAAUUACAUAAAAAAUUAGUGAGUUGAAAGACUCGUACUCUACCUAAUUCAGUUUUUCCGACCGGCAAUUUUGGUUACCUGGAAUGAAAACUGUGGUGUUACGAACUAAGGUUAGGUCCUGAUGGUGACAGAAUUUUUUUUCCUCUGCGGAAAAUGAUAAACACACACACCCUUACGCUGACACGUCAUUUUAAAAGCCAGACAACUACGUGUUGCGGUGGGACUUUUUAAAUCUACUACAGAUUUUGCAAGCACUAUUUCUGAAAAAAAUGUUUGAAAUGUUUUGAAAAAACUAAAACCCCUCAGCUUUUUCUGAAUUUGACAGCUGAUAACUUUCGCAACUUUAGCUUCAAACUCCUCAGCUUUAUGAUGAUCUUUGUACUGAUAGUCCAAUGUAAUAUCAUAUUCCUCUCUGUUACAUUUUAAUAAAAUCUUUUUCGCCUGAAAAUACGAAGGAAACACUACAUUCCUGCAUUACACCUUUAUGAAACCGCCCUUACCUCUUCAGGAG